AGGCUUCACGCCCCUUCGAUUUUGGUGACUCUGGAUAACUGUCAGUACGAUCGCACGGGCUAGUAUCGACUAACCUUCGCGAGUCCGCCCUAUCAACUGUCGACGGUCCGGUAAGUGCCAACCGUGGUGGCAGCGGGUAACGGGGAAUCAGGGUUCGAUUCCGGAGAGGGAGCAUGCGAAAUGGCUACCACAUCCAAGGAAGGCAGCAGGCGCGCAAAUUACCCACUCCCGGCACGGGGAGGUAGUGACGAAAAAUAACGACGCGGGACUCCGUCGAGGCCCCGCGAUCGGAAUGAGUACACUUCAAAUCCGUUAAGGAGGAUCGACCGGAGGGCAAGAAGAAGAAGAAGAAGAAGAAGAAGUAUGUACUGUUCUGGGAAAAGAAGCGCAAAUUAUAACGGUUAGCAUUGGAAAAGAAGUGACAUUUGGAGAUGUAUAAUCAGAA
Octopus bimaculoides (California two-spot octopus) is the source of this 445-nucleotide non-coding RNA. The record is from Rfam. NCBI's taxonomy places the organism in Eukaryota, Metazoa, Mollusca, Cephalopoda, Octopoda, Octopodidae.